Macaca mulatta (Rhesus monkey) is the source of this 193-nucleotide small nuclear RNA. Its record names the gene U2. It matches the Rfam family "U2 spliceosomal RNA". From Rfam's summary of the family: U2 is a small nuclear RNA (snRNA) component of the spliceosome (involved in pre-mRNA splicing). Complementary binding between U2 snRNA (in an area lying towards the 5' end but 3' to hairpin I) and the branchpoint sequence (BPS) of the intron results the bulging out of an unpaired adenosine, on the BPS, which initiates a nucleophilic attack at the intronic 5' splice site, thus starting the first of two transesterification reactions that mediate splicing. The record is from Ensembl. NCBI's taxonomy places the organism in Eukaryota, Metazoa, Chordata, Mammalia, Primates, Cercopithecidae.
AUCGCUUCUCGGCCUUUUGGCUAAGAUCAAGUGUAGUAUCUGUUCUUAUCAGUUUAAUAUCUGAUACGUCCUCUAUCCGAGGACAAUAUAUUAAAUGGAUUUUUGGAGCAGGGAGAUGGAAUAGGAGCUUGCUCCGUCCACUCCACGCAUCGACCUGGUAUUGCAGUACCUCCGGGGAUACAACGCGUUUGCU